CCGAACCGACUAAUGUUGAAAAAUUAGCGGAUGACCUGUGGCUGGGGGUGAAAGGCCAAUCAAACCGGGAGAUAGCUGGUUCUCCCCGAAAGCUAUUUAGGUAGCGCCUCGUGAAUUCAUCUCCGGGGGUAGAGCACUGUUUCGGCUAGGGGGCCAUCCCGGCUUACCAACCCGAUGCAAACUGCGAAUACCGGAGAAUGUUAUCACGGGAGACACACGGCGGGUGCUAACGUCCGUCGUGAAGAGGGAAACAACCCAGACCGCCAGCUAAGGUCCCAAAGUCAUGGUUAAGUGGGAAACGAUGUGGGAAGGCCCAGACAGCCAGGAUGUUGGCUUAGAAGCAGCCAUCAUUUAAAGAAAGCGUAAUAGCUCACUGGUCGAGUCGGCCUGCGCGGAAGAUGUAACGGGGCUAAACCAUGCACCGAAGCUGCGGCAGCGACACUGUGUGUUGUUGGGUAGGGGAG
This 464-nucleotide ribosomal RNA is filed under the name Salmonella enterica. RNAcentral's name for it is "partial 23S ribosomal RNA". It matches the Rfam family "Bacterial large subunit ribosomal RNA", at positions 774 to 1236 of the family's 2925-position model. The record is from RNAcentral. RNAcentral also lists the same sequence under 1 other name. Lineage: Bacteria; Pseudomonadati; Pseudomonadota; Gammaproteobacteria; Enterobacterales; Enterobacteriaceae.